This 233-nucleotide ribosomal RNA is filed under the name uncultured bacterium. RNAcentral's name for it is "partial 16S ribosomal RNA". It matches the Rfam family "Bacterial small subunit ribosomal RNA", at positions 118 to 350 of the family's 1533-position model. The record is from RNAcentral.
UGGGCAACCUGCCCCUCUCUCUGGGAUAACCCCGGGAGACCGGAGCUAAUACCGGAUACUCCGGCUGGAUCGCAUGGUCCGGCCGGGAAAGGUCCGCCGGAGAGGGAUGGGCCCGCGGCCUAUCAGCUUGUUGGUGAGGUAGUGGCUCACCAAGGCGACGACGGGUAGCCGGCCUGAGAGGGCGACCGGCCACACUGGGACUGAGACACGGCCCAGACUCCGUACGGGAGGCA